Mercenaria mercenaria is the source of this 1089-nucleotide long non-coding RNA. RefSeq lists it as uncharacterized. The record is from RefSeq and is a predicted model, not a curated record. NCBI's taxonomy places the organism in Eukaryota, Metazoa, Mollusca, Bivalvia, Venerida, Veneridae. The transcript has 4 exons.
GACAUGCGCAGGCUGGUCUGGAUCCAUGCUGGUCGCAAAGCCACUGUGUUGGUUUUCUCAUGGCAUGGCUCAUAUGUAUCAUGGAGAAUUUCUCUUUUGGACUAUAUGGGUACUGUGUUUGACUAUAUGUGCUGGUUGAAAUGUGUCUGGCUACAAGUGCUGUGUUUGACUAAACUUGCGUGUCAAACAAUAGGUGCUGUGUUGGGCUAUAGGUGCUGAAUGGAACUGUAUGUGCUGUAUUUAACCACAGGUGUUGUAUUGGACUAUAGGUGUUGAGUUGGACUAUAUGCACUAUGCUUGAAUGUGUUGCACUGUAUGCCCUGUAUUGGACUAUUUGUGCUGCAUUUAAUCACAGGUGCUGUAUUGGACUAUAUGUGCUAUAUUUAACCACAGGUGCUGUAUUGGACUAUAGGUGUUGAGUUGGACUAUAUGCACUAUGCUUGAAUGUGUUGCACUGUAUGCCCUGUAUUGGACUAGCUAUAGGUGCUGUAUUGGACUAUAUGUGCUGCAUUUAACCACAGGUGUUGUAUUGGACUGUAUGUGUUGAGUUGGACUAUAUGCACUAUGCUUGAUUUGCACUGUAUGCCCUGUAUUGGACUAGCUAUAGGUGCUGUACUGGACUAUAGGUGUUGAACUGGACAGUACGCACUGUAUUAAACUACGAUGUUUCUCAUUACAGAGCUGGUGCAGCUGUUCUGCGCAUGCCCUGGAUGAUUAUCAAUAGGAGCGCACGGCAAAAUUACGCAAUUUUUUGCAUGUUCACACGCAUCUAGUGUAUAAUAUGUAUAAUAUACUGACUAAAGGUUACGGUUAGUAUCACCAAGGUUACAAAAUAUAUACAUUUAAGAUAUUUUUUGUUCAAAUUUAGUUAAUACAGAAUAUACCGGAGUCUGUAAUAUAUCACGGGCGCACCAACUCUAUUUUUAGUCACAGCCAUUAAACUAUAGGUACUGUAUUGUACUAUAGGUGUUGUGUUAGACUAUAUGCACUAUGCUUGAAUGUGUUGCACUACAGUGUAGCAGUUAUAUUGGACUCUAAGUCCUAUGCCUGAAUGUGCUAGACUAUAGGUGUUGUGUUGGUCUAAAUCUC